Molecule: long non-coding RNA, 1589 nt
Organism: Arabidopsis lyrata subsp. lyrata
Lineage: Eukaryota; Viridiplantae; Streptophyta; Magnoliopsida; Brassicales; Brassicaceae
Exons: 4
Source: RefSeq, a predicted model, not a curated record
AUAUAAAAUCAGUAAGCAGGAAGCUAAAAUCACGUAUUCCGUCAAUACUUAGCCAAAAAAUUUAGAUAGCCGCGAACACUUUAGUUUUUCUUCUUUUCUCAAAGACCUAAACAAAUUAUCUCAGAGACUAGAAAAAUAAAAUAAAAAAACUCUUAGGCUCGAAUCAACUCAGCCAAACCCUAACUCCCCUCCAAUGGCUUCCGCCGCUGCCGCCACCACCAAAUUAAAUAGACGCAACCGAAACCCCACAUCUCCACCUAUCAAUCCCGAUCUAUUUCUCACGAUGAAGUUUCAAUCUACCGUGGAGGAGAAUCGCUUUGGGAACAGAGAAGAUGAAUUCAAGUAGAGAAAGGGAUGAUUCGAAGAGUUUUAGAUCGGGAAGUAGAGAGAGAGAGAGGACAUGGUAAUGGUGGUGAUGGACGGAUUAAUAUACUUCGAUAAGUAGAGAUUCAAUGACUCUUCUUCUUCUCCUUCUUCAUCCUCACAAAAUGGUAAGCCAUCUCAAUUAGGGAUUUUAGCUUUCUUUAAUUUGGAAAUUGGAAAACCAAAAAGGUAUUCUUCAUUAGGAGAAAACUGUAAACUGUAAGCUUCAAAUCCAAAAAGAAAACUCUUUGUAUCUAGAGAUGGAGCUCGUGUGUGAAACUCUUUCUAUUAAAUUAUCAUUUUGAUUGCUAAAGUGUUGCAGCCGGAGCUUGUACGAUUUGAGAGAGACUUGUUGAAUAUCUCGAGUGGUGGAACCGUAAAAAAAUGUAAAUGAACAAUAGGAAGUAAGCUGCGAACGAGAAUGCUCGUAAUGAAAAUAAGAAAGUCGUGUCUUCACCUACACGGCUACACCUGUUGAAAAGCCUGAAGCUCCUGAGACAUGCACUAGUAGUCCAACAUGAGAUUAGUCGGAGAGAAGUGAAUCAAAAGAUUCUGAUGAUUUAAUGUGAGUUUAUUAUUUAAAGGAGAGGAUUUUGGAAGGUACUUUCUUGUUACUGCUAGCCUUUUGUGUUUGAUUUCUUAUUUUGCAGCUUGUAUAAGGGUCUUGCUCCACGUUGGCUGUGAAGUUGAUGAUCUUCAGGUUUGGCUACACAUUGUCUAUUUGAAUUUUAGUGCUUGGUUUGGUUAAUUUCUCCGUUUGAUAUUAUGGAUUUUUUGUGGAUGACUUGAUGGUUGGCAAAAUAAAGAACAAGGAAGGAUAAUUCAGAGAUCAGUUUAUAAGACAAGUGAAAAUAAUGUUAAUACUUUGCUGCUCCAAAUACCUUUGCUUUAAUGUUAUUACAGAUAGAUGAGCAGAAUAUACAAGAACAGGUAGUGGAAAUCAAUUCUUCUUCAUCUUUAGGAGCUGUUAAGAAAGAGGUGGGACAUGUUGAGGACGAAUGCUCACGAAAGAGCAUUGAUUUUAAGAUAAAAACUAUUGAGGAAACAAGAUUGAAGACUGUGAUAUAUGUUGAUGCUUUUGUACACAUGCUUACAGAGAUUAUGGACGGGGAUGAUAUGGGAAGGCGAAACAUAUAAAUGAGAUUGAAGUUUAUCUUUAUGAUGUUAGCUUUAUUUUGUUUAAAACUUUGUAUGAUGUUAUGUAAAAAAUGGAUAAUGUAGUAAUA